GCACAACAGAACCUCCGAGUGAUUUUUACCAAGACUAACCCGUCAAGGUUACUUAACUUAUUGAUCCAAUCAUAUUGAUCAACGAAACAAGUUACCCUAGGGAUAACAGCGCAAUCCUAUUAGAGAGUUCGUAUCGACAAUAGGGUUUACGACCUCGAUGUUGGAUCAGGACACCCAAAUGGUGCAGCAGCUAUUAAAGGUUCGUUUGUUCAACGAUUAAAGUCCUACGUGAUCUGAGUUCAGACCGGAGAA
This 252-nucleotide ribosomal RNA is filed under the name Crocidura crenata. Its description in RNAcentral is "partial large subunit ribosomal RNA". It matches the Rfam family "Bacterial large subunit ribosomal RNA", at positions 2357 to 2623 of the family's 2925-position model. The record is from RNAcentral. Lineage: Eukaryota; Metazoa; Chordata; Mammalia; Eulipotyphla; Soricidae.